This 315-nucleotide unclassified non-coding RNA is filed under the name Hevea brasiliensis (rubber tree). Lineage: Eukaryota; Viridiplantae; Streptophyta; Magnoliopsida; Malpighiales; Euphorbiaceae. The record is from RNAcentral.
GCUCAAGGGGAGUUGGGUAAAGUUAGCAAACAUUGAAAAUCUUUGUAUGGCUUGAUGUUGAAGCAGAGUCCUCAAGCCUAGUUUAGGAGGUUCAAUGAAGUGAUUUAGGAAUUCGGCAUGAAAAAGAGUGUGUGAUAAUUUCAAUGUUGUAAAAGUCAACAAAAGGCGCCGGGCCAGGCACAGGGCAAGGCGAGGCUGCUGUGACUCGCCUGGCAGAGGCAAGGUUGCUGCGAAGUGGCAACUGCCCCAGAGCUGAAAGGCGAUGAGGACAUGAGGCACUGCCUCAUAAAAGUAAAAGCAACUUUGAUUUUUUUU